AGGAGUGGGGCAACUUCCCCAGAAUCCCAGUGCUCUCUGACAGGGUCUGAGGAUUCCUUAGGCAGUCUGGAUGAGAGAGAGAAAAGGCUGCUGACCAGUGAGAUGAACUACUGGACUAAGGAGAGGAGGAGGAAUGGCAGUGCAGGGUGCCGCCAUAAAUCCACUCGCAGAACCUCAUCACCAUGCUGUUCGCCUAAGAGCGUUCCAAGAGAGGAAACAAAAAGGACUGCCAUUCAGUCCAGGAACAGACUGAGAUUCCCUCUACUGAUGGACAUUGCAUAGGUAAGGACUUUAGAGCUCUGCUAUAGCUUGUAGUUUUGUU
This 322-nucleotide long non-coding RNA is filed under the name Oncorhynchus kisutch (coho salmon). Its description in RNAcentral is "lncRNA (ENSOKIG00005002982.1)". Lineage: Eukaryota; Metazoa; Chordata; Actinopteri; Salmoniformes; Salmonidae. The record is from RNAcentral.